CUGAAUAUUAAUAGUUAUUUUCUUGAAACUCUAAGAAUUUGGCGGUAAUAUAUUUUUUUAGAGGAACCUGUUUUUUAAUCGAUGAACCACGAUACUUUCUACCUUUUAUAUUUAUUUGUAUACCUCUAUUUAGAAUGUUUUUUUAGGAUAAUUUUCUUUUUCUU
RNAcentral lists this ribosomal RNA (164 nucleotides) under Aphrodes hamiltoni. RNAcentral's name for it is "partial 12S ribosomal RNA". Lineage: Eukaryota; Metazoa; Arthropoda; Insecta; Hemiptera; Cicadellidae. The record is from RNAcentral.